AACGAACGCUGGCGGCAUGCCUAACACAUGCAAGUCGAACGGGAUCCUAGCUUGCUAGGUGAGAGUGGCGGACGGGUGAGUAACACGUGGGAAUCUCGCCUUUUGGUUCGGGAUAACCGCGGGAAACUGCGGCUAAUACCGAAUGCCCUCGAGAGAGGAAAGAUUUAUCGCCAGAAGAGGAGCCCGCGUCCGAUUAGGUAGUUGGUGGGGUAAAGCCUACCAAGCCGACGAUCGGUAGCUGGUCUGAGAGGAUGAUCAGCCACACUGGGACUGAGAUACGGCCCAGACUCCUACGGGAGGCAGCAGUGGGGAAUAUUGGACAAUGGGGGCAACCCUGAUCCAGCAAUGCCGCGUGAGUGAU
Molecule: ribosomal RNA, 361 nt
Filed under: uncultured bacterium
Lineage: Bacteria
Description: bacterial SSU rRNA
Rfam family: Bacterial small subunit ribosomal RNA
Source: RNAcentral